CUGAACUACUCUGCUCAGCCUGGUGCCCCAAUCUUUGUGUCACAGGAACUGACCAUUCACAUUGACUGGCUGCAGGAGAGAGAAAAUUAUAUCCUGUGUGAGGCACUAUAUUCAGGUUUGGACUGAUGAUGAAUCAGAAAUACAAAAUAGGCCAGUUCCAGACAGAAACUUUAAGAAACAUUGAGAAGUUCCAUACACUUUCUUGUUUUUUUCCCCUCUGGUGGCAGAACGACAUGUCACAAACAUGGUCGUUUCUUCAAACUGCUUCUAGACUGAAAAAGGACAGUGAUAUACAGUAGGACACUCUCUUGUGAUGCUGGGCAGCUCCCAGUCAGCCACCUGAUCACAAUCUAUACACUUAUAACCAUUUGGUGCCCAUAUAAGCACUCUGUUUUUCACUUUCAUUUCAAUAUUCAAUAAAUGACA
Molecule: long non-coding RNA, 426 nt
Organism: Canis lupus familiaris (dog)
Lineage: Eukaryota; Metazoa; Chordata; Mammalia; Carnivora; Canidae
Exons: 3
Source: RefSeq, a predicted model, not a curated record